UUCUCCUCCUUGAAGCAGGUUUAUUUGCCCAAUGCCUGUACCCCCAUUGUAUCUAGGAAGUAACUAACUUGGUUUUGAUUUUUGCAGGCUCAUAGGCAGAAGGAACUUGCCUUGUCUUAGAUGAGACCUUGGACUUGGACUUUUGGGUUAAUGUAGGAAUGAGGGGGAAAUUUGGACAACGGGAAAUAUGCGCACACAGAGAAUGCCAUAUGAACAUGAAGACAGAUAUCAGAGUGAUGCAUCUACAAGCCAAAGAAUGUCAAAGAUGGCAGCACACCACCAGAAGCUAGCAGAGAUGCAAGGAACAGAUUCUCACGGACCUCAGAAGGGAGCAAACUUUUUCACACCUUGACAUUUCUAGCCUCCAGAAAUGUGAGACAAUACAUUUCUUUUCUUUAAGCCACUCAGUUUGUUUUGCAGAUUUACAGCAACCCAAGAAAACUAAUACAAAUAAGUUGUGUUCAUUGAAACAAGUGGUAUACUGUAUAUAUGUCUGAUGAAAAAUAUGAAUGUAAUUCACUGAUACAUUUUGUUCACAAUGGUAAAGACUGUUUUGACCUAGGAGUCUAAAAAUCAAAAACACAACAAUUAAAAGUAAUAAUACUUCUUUUCAUGUUUUCAAAUCAGAUGGCUACUAAAUGUAAGAUGUAGAAGUCGCAUGUUAAAAACUAACUUUCUAUUUAUUGUUUUGAUUUUGGAAAUUAAACAUAAUUAUGCAUUUAAUGUAAAUGUUUUAAUUUGCUGAACGGUAUCAAAUAAUUAGUUAUAUAGAAUUCCCUAACUAUAAUUUUUAGCAAUUAGAUUCCAAGAAUCUAAUUUUCGAAGUAUCUAAUUUUCAAGGAGAUUAUAAAAUAAUGACCAGAUUUAAACACACAGUACCACAUUACAGAAGUCCUUAAAUACAAUAUCCAAGUAUGCAUCCAGGAAAAUCAUAAAAUAAAUAGAAGAGUCGUUUUACACAAAAGUGGAUUUUCAUUUUGACAUAGGCUAAUUUUCAUUUUAGACUAAAAAAAGUUUGUUAUCAUACCUAAUUAAAUUUGGAAAAAUUCCGACUGCUUUUCAAUAACGAACUUUAAAAAAGCAAUUUCGUUUCUAGUCUUGGAUUUCCUAGAGAUUCUUUUGCUUGUUAUUUUCUAUAGGGUAUUACCGUCAAUUUUGAUCAAUGCUAUAUAAAUCAAUACAUUACAAAUUAUUUCAAAAUUUUUGAGAUAGUAGUAGAGUUUAAGUACAAUAUGGAAAGUACUUGCAAAGUUAAUAAUUAAAUAUGUAAUUCAGGCAUGGUUAUACUGUGGAAAAUAAUUGUCUAAAUUCAUAAGAAUAAUAAUGUCUACCUCAGUUCAUUUUAAUGAAACAAUUUGAAUCUUUCAUACUCCUUUUUAACAAAACAAUUCUUUUACAGAGAAUCUCACUUAUUUAAUUACCGAUGCCUCUCUCAUAUGUGAAAUGCUGAAUUGACAUCCAAUUUGUUUUUUUCCAUAGAAAAUAUUUAUUAUAGCACUGAUAAUAAUUAAUGACUCAGAAAGAGGCUCAAAGCUUUCAUUCCUGGCUCCACUGAAUAUUUUUAAACUUAAUCAAGGGCAACAAUAAUAGCUCCUUCACCUCUGAUCCAAAGUUUCUUAAUUUUUAGCUUUUAAGAUCUAAUUAUAAAAAAAUUGAUGGAAAAGAGUUUUAAAUGGCUUCUAAUUUAUUUUGACUUUCCAUUUUAGUAAGCAUUCUAGCAAGUCACUUUGAUAGUCUGAAAACUUUUUUACAUAUGUAAUUCAAUUUACUUUUUGGCAACAAAAUGGAUUCAACAGAAAUUAUAUUACAGUAUUAAUAGUUUGAACUGAAUAUUGUUUACUGUGUUUUCAACAGCAUACAAAGGUGUCAGAUAUUCCUUUAACCUAUUUGAUGAUUUCAAUUUUUCACUAUUCGAAGUAAAUAGUAAUUUGCACCUACAUAUAUCAUGAACAAUUUUCAUUAUGAUCAUGACCAUGCAUUUUCUGGAUAUACAUAUAGAUUUCCUUUACUUUUGAUAAAAAGUGUAGCUUAUUUUCAUCCAUAUUAAAUAAAAUCAAUUGUUUUCUCAUUUCUUCAUGACUAUACAAGUCAAUGAUAAAUUUAUAAAUAUGAUGAAUAUAUGGAUAAAUAAUCAUAUGGCCCAUUUUACUAAAACAGCUCUUUAUGCCAUUAGUUUCUGUCUCUUUCUGUCUUCUACCUCCCUGUCAUUCUUUCUCUCUCUCCUCCAAUUUUCCACUCAUAACAUUAAUUUAAUUUGAAGCAGUAUAUAUGAGAAUCCUAUCUGCAUUAAAAGUCAGGAGAUAGAUAUAAUAUUUACCUUUGACUGUGAUUUUCCUAUUUUGCCAGUUUGGAAAAUUUCCUUUCAUUAGUUUUUUGUCAUUGAAGUAGACAGGUUUUGAAUAUGUAUUAAUACUAAUUAUUAAUAAAAUAUCUUCUUAUAAUGUUAUAGUCUUCUUAUAUUUUUGUAUAGUAGAAAAUAAACUUUGUUAUAAUUAAAC
Molecule: long non-coding RNA, 2498 nt
Filed under: Homo sapiens (human)
Lineage: Eukaryota; Metazoa; Chordata; Mammalia; Primates; Hominidae
Description: HSALNT0057326
Source: RNAcentral